Molecule: ribosomal RNA, 843 nt
Filed under: Rufoplaca arenaria
Lineage: Eukaryota; Fungi; Ascomycota; Lecanoromycetes; Teloschistales; Teloschistaceae
Description: eukaryotic LSU rRNA
Rfam family: 5.8S ribosomal RNA (bases 493-646)
Source: RNAcentral
GGAAGUUACAAUACCUCGCAUUUCGCGGCGUCGUCAGCGAGCCAAAACCAGAGAACCGUGUUGAAAGUUUGUUAAAUGUCAGCUCGAACCGCCCGGUGAGAACGAUUUUUUAUAGCGCAUAGCCGGCGCUCGCGGACCGCACCAAGAUAGCACGUGCUCGUAAGAAACCCCAGAGAAGGGGAGCUACCUUGGGGUAAGUGUUCGUUAAUAAGUUUCCCGGCCCCUCCCCGCGCGCACACACAAAGAGAGUAGAAGUCGUAACAAGGUUUCCGUAGGUGAACCUGCGGAAGGAUCAUUACUGAGAGGGGGGUUUCGCGCCCCCAGGGGCUCUGCCCCGCACCUUUCCAUCCUUUGUUCAUUCUUCACUGUUGCUUUGGCGGGUCUCCGGGGUCUUCCCAGCGCCAGCUCCCUUCGUGGGGUCCGCGAGCGCCCGCCAUCGGCCCAUCAAAAAUCGUUUUCACCAGGCGGUCUGAGCUGUACAAAUAUAAACAAAACUUUCAACAACGGAUCUCUUGGUUCUGGCAUCGAUGAAGAACGCAGCGAAAUGCGAUAAGUAAUGUGAAUUGCAGAAUUCAGUGAAUCAUCGAAUCUUUGAACGCACAUUGCGCCCUUUGGUAUUCCGAAGGGCAUGCCUGUUCGAGCGUCAUUACACCUCUCAAGCUUUGCUUGGUAUUGGACGACUCGUCUCCUGAACUUCUCGGGGGCCGCGCCCGAAAUCUAGUGGCGGUUCAGGUGGAUUACUAGCGCAGUAAAUACUUAUCCGCUUCUGUAGUUUGCACCUGCGAUCCGGCCAGCGAAAACGUUAACCCCCAAAAAUGACCUCGGAUCAGGUAGGAGCCGUAU